AGCCGCACCAGCAGCACCAGCAGAAUGCCGCGGUAGUGCGGCAGGCCCUGGCCCCAUGGACAAAGAGAAACUCGUCAGUGGCAGUGGCCACGAACUCAGAAAGCCUGAGGACAGUCAGCAGCUCCUCUGGCUCUUCACUUUCACACUGGUGCAACUACAGGAGCUGAAGAAUAUUUUUCAACUUGUUCCAUACCCGGACGUGUUAGGAUCAGAUUCAUCAUUGGACUCCUGGACCUAUCACUGCGGACCUCAAAUGUGCACCUUUUAAGCCCUUUCCUUCACUCCUGACUGAUUGAUUUGGGAUCCACUGCUAAGUCAGACUUUUGAACCAUUGUUCCAGGCAAACUUCUGUUAAAGCUGUUUCAGAUGAGUUUCCAAUGUUUAUAUUCUAGUUGGACCACAAAUAACGAGUCUCAUCUCAGCACCCGAAGAUGGAGUCUCCCUCUGUCGCCCAGGCUGGAGUGCAGUGGCGCGAUCUCGGCUCACUGCAGCCUCCACCUCCUGGUUUUAUGCGAUUCUCCUGCCUCAGCCUCCCGAGUAGCUGGGACUACAGUGGCCUCAGGGAUAUGGAAUUAAGAUCCACCUGGUGUGAUGAAUAAACCCAGACUCUCAGCAACACAGGAAAAAAAAAAAACAAAAACUGGCUGGCGAUCUGGAGUAAAGGAUCCUCACAUCCAUGUGAACCAGGAAACUCUAUGCCCAAACCGACGAAAAAAAAACACUGGGAGAGCCGGUAAAGUAUUUCCUUGGUGGUGGGGACUAAGGAAAAAGCAGCAGGGUGGUAAAGCAUUCCUUGGUUAAGACAUACGGAGGAGAGAGAAACCGCAGGGGCAGUAAAGCAUUCCUUAGUCAGGACUAGGGAAAGAAAGCCACAGGGGGUGGUAAAGUAUUCCUUAGUCAGGAUGUCUUGGAGGUUAAAAAGAGGUGAGAAAUCCCCACUGGGGGGGUUAAACCUUAAAAAGAGGUAAGAAAUCUCUAUUGUGGGGGUUGAACCUCAAAAAGAGGUGAGAAAUCCCCAUUGGGGGAUUGAACCUCAAAGAGGUGAGAAAUCCCCAUUGUGGGGGUUGAAUCUCACAGAAACCUCCGGUAGUAAAUAUAUAUUCAAAACUCCCCUUUCCUCUCUUCUCAGGAAAAGAAAAAGGCUAAGCUCCACUCCCACCGGUUGCUCCCCUAGGGGAAGGGGAAGGAGGGGGGGAAAACAGCAGCAUAGGUGGCUGGCAGAGGCAAAGUCCAGCAGGGAGGAAAAAGAAACCAGGAAAGGAAGUCAGAGAGAAAGAGAGCAAAAACAGCAAGUGUGACACCAGACAGGCGCACCAAGGGUUAAGUCCCUCUCCCCAGCCCAGCUCUAUGUGAAAAAGAGUGUGGGGAACGGCACCAGGAGGAGAGCAGAGGAGGUGAAAGGGCAUAAUUAUUGCAACUUGCAGCAGGCAUCUGCCAAGCCUCUGGGCCAGUGAUGGCCCGGGGUCUGGACUGCAGCCCCACAAAUCCCACCCAGCCCAAGAAACUGAGUGUAAGAAGAAAGGAAAAAAGUAAAAAGGGAAAUUGGGAAAAGAAAAAAAAGCAGAUGAAACAGACGGCAGUGUGUGUGUGGGGGCGGGACCCAUGCCAUUGCCCGGCCUUGCCGGCCCCGCAGGAAAAAGGAAACAAGGGAUGACGGAGAGAGAGAGAAAAAAAGAGAGUGCAAAUGAGAGAGAGAAAUAGGGGGAAAGAAUAAGUAAGAGAGAAACUGGAAGAGACAGAAAUCAAAGAAAGACAGAGGGUGAAACUAGGAAAAGAAAUAGUGUAAAAGGAAGGCAGAAAGUUAAGACAUGUUGAAGAUUGUCUAUGAAAGUCGUAAGAAAGGUUAUAAAGGGAAUUUAUGCAAGAAAUAUUGUAUAAUUUAAAAGUAAUUAGGCCUCCUGAAUGUAAAACUAUUAAAAAAACAGUUUAUGUACAAAGUAUGUAAGAAAAAUAAAAUAUACUUUUAAUAAAAGGAUUAUAAGGAGGCAUAAGAAUAUGGAUUUUUACCUACAUUAAAAGGUUUAAAAAAUUUUGUUUUAAAGGUUUAAGCAAGUUUUAACAUGUUAAUUGUAAAGGAAAUUCUGUGUGUAAACAUUUUGGCUAAAGGUAAAGGGUUUAUCAUCCAGUUUUGCUGUGAACUGAACAUUAAAAUAAAACCACAAUAGUUUUUUCUUAAAGCACUAACCUGCUCUUUAACAAAAAAUUUAACAUGUUAAAAAGAGUCUAUAAAAAUCUUACCUUAUAGUCUGACAUUAAAAUUGGAUAAUGUCUACAAGAUUUUAUUAAAAUUAAGUUUAACAUUAAUAGCACAUUAAUAUAAAGGUAAAAUUUAACUUACCUGGUACAAAAUCAUACAAAAAGCAUUGUCAAAUAUAAAAUGGUGUUUAGCUUUCUUAAGGUCCGAGGGCGGCUGGGUAAGUCACAAGCUCCUCAUCCCCAAGGAUACAAUGUGCAGGGGAGAUGAAGGCCACUAGAAGGCCAAGACCUUAAGAGGGGGCAGGGCCGCAGCAUCCCCUGAGUGGUGCUGAGCAGGAAUGGAGUGGGAGGCAUCACCAUGGGGCCUCAAGCCCCAGAAUAUGCAGCAAAAAUUAUAUACUUUUUAUCUUCCACUUUCCCUUCCCUCAGAACUAAAAGUCUUUUAGCACAGGUACCAGCCCUAGAAUUUCCAGUACACCAGCAGCAGCCUGGAAACCACAUCCUCAUCAAAAGACAGAAAGAAAAAAACUCGAGCCAGCCUGGGAAGGACCCUAUUUUAUGCUGUUAACCACUGAGACUGCCAUCCUCACAGCUGAGAAAGGAUGGACCCACCUAUCAUACUGAAGUCAAGAAAACAUCUUCCUCGUCAGAAUCAUGGGUUACUGUACUAGGAUUAAGCCUUACUAACUUAAAGUUAAAGAAAGCUUAAUUUUCAUAUACCUUCUAUAUUGCUUCCUUUCCUUUCCUUAUUCUGUUACUAGCUCCUUUGUUAUUAAUGUAACUAAGUCUGAGUCACCUCAGACCAUUGCCUUUUAUGCUUGCUCUGUCAUACCUUGUGGAAAUGUAAAAGAUCAAUGACAGCUAGCCUUUUCACACAAUUAUUUAUGCCUCGGCCCUCUAAUUGACACAGUUACCCCUAGCACUCAUCGUUGUGAUCACCUGCAGCCAAGACGCUGAUUUUCUGCUCCUAUAGCCUGGCAACCUUGUAGUACAUGGGACUACGUCCUUUAAACUACCCAGAAGCAAAGUUGGACUUCCAUGAAAAAGGUUUGUGCAGAUCUAAAACCUCUCAUCUAUUUCACUAAAAGGACUGCCCCUUCUAACUGUCACCCUUACCAGUGUAACCCUGUCCUCUCUAUCACCACCUCCACCUUAACUAACUCUAGACCUGUCCUUAAUCGCUUUUAUGGUAUUGGAAUAGGAAUUAAAAGAAAUUAAAGAAUGUGUAAGGAGAAACUCAUUUGUAUGUAAGAAAACCCAAUUCCCCCUGAGAAAGAGAAAGAGUUGGAGUCCUUUAAAAAUUAACUGCCUGUUUUUCUGUGGCUAGUGAGCCUUAUCUCUCCUCCUUUCCCAGGCAUUGUGAAGACCCUGUUUCUCUAGCUGGGCAGAUGCAAGGUCACUAGACAGAUAAACUCAAGUUGUAAAACAUGUUUUUCCUUGAAAAGUAAGAAAUGCUGUAAUGCAUAUUUCAAUUAAUUAAAUAACUGUCUUUGUUUCUCACUUCUGUAAUAUGCUUCCCCCUGCACAGAUCUCCACCCACCCUACAAAAUGCUUAAAAGGUAACUUAACUCUUUGUUCUGGGCUCAGUCCUUUGGGCUGAGUACUGGGCCGUUGCACCUAAAUAAUAAAUAUCUUCCUGAACCCCA
RNA transcript from Gorilla gorilla gorilla (western lowland gorilla), 3842 nucleotides. RefSeq lists it as uncharacterized. The record is from RefSeq and is a predicted model, not a curated record. The transcript is spliced from 5 exons. Lineage: Eukaryota; Metazoa; Chordata; Mammalia; Primates; Hominidae.